CAUGCUCGUCGUCGAUGAUGAUGUUUGUGUGAUUAAUUGUCCUCGCAAACGACGCAGCAACCCUUAUCUUCANUUACUGACCACGCAGGAUCNACAGCGUCCUGGUGCCAUCUCUGGAGAUGACUGCCAGGGAUAACCUGGAAGGAAUGGUGGUGGAUGACCGUCAAAUCAUCAUGCCCCUUAUGGGCACGGGCUACACACGUGCUACAAUGGCGUAAACAAAGAGGACAGCGAUACUGCGAAGUUGAGCAAAUCCCAAAAACUAACGUCUCAUUUUCGGAUUGUAGUCUGCAACUCUGACUACAUGAAGCGUGGAAUCGCUAUAAUCGCGAAUCAGAAUGUCGUCGGUGAAUACGUUCCCGGGUCUUGUACACACCG
This 378-nucleotide ribosomal RNA is filed under the name uncultured bacterium. Its description in RNAcentral is "bacterial SSU rRNA". It matches the Rfam family "Bacterial small subunit ribosomal RNA", at positions 1044 to 1392 of the family's 1533-position model. The record is from RNAcentral.